Molecule: ribosomal RNA, 3228 nt
Filed under: Triticum aestivum (bread wheat)
Lineage: Eukaryota; Viridiplantae; Streptophyta; Magnoliopsida; Poales; Poaceae
Description: partial small subunit ribosomal RNA
Source: RNAcentral
AUGGCGAACCCGGCUUCUCCUCGUCCCCCCAUCCGGUCGGUGAACCUCGGAAACUGGCUCGUCACUGAGGGCUGGAUUCUGCCCUCCCUCUUCGACGGCCUCCCCAACAAAGAUCUCCUGGAUGGCACGCAGCUGCAGUUCAAGUCCGUGACGCAGAACGCGUUCGUGGCUGCCGAGAAUGGCGGCGGUGCGGCGCUGGUCGCCAACCGUCCCUCGGCCUCAGGCUGGGAGACCUUCAAGCUCUAUCGGAUCAACCAGAACACCUUCAACUUCAAGGUGUUUAGCAACCAGUUCGUCACCGUCGCCGGCGUUAAUGUCGUGGCCACGGCCUCCACAUCAGUUCAGUCGUUCCAGCUGGUCCGCAACGAUGCUGACCAGAAUAGGAUAAGGAUCAGAGCACCCAAUGGGUCCCUCUUACAGGCAAACAAAGAUGGUUCGGUAACGGCCGACUUCCGCGAGAGGGCGACGACAUGGGGCGAUGACGACCCCUCCGUGUUUGUGGUGACCAUCGUCAAGGAGCUUCCCUCCCUCUUCGACGACAUACUCAACAAAGACCUCCUGGAUGGCACACAACUACAGUUCAGGUCCGUGACGCAGAAUGCGUUCGUGGCCGCCGAGAUUGGUGGUGGGGCGACACUUGUCGCCAACCGGGCCUCGGCCUCCAGCUGGGAGACCUUCAAGCUUUGGAGGAUCGACAAGAACACGUUCAACUUCAAGGUGUUCAACAACCAGUUCGUGAUCGUUGCCGGCGUUAAUGUGGUGGCCACAGCCUCCACAGCGGGGCAGUCGGAGACGUUCCAGCUGGUACGCAACGACGCUGACAAGGAUAGAAUGAGGAUCAGAGCACCCAAUGGGUCGUUCUUGCAGGCAAACAAAGAUGGUACGGUGACGGCGGACUUUGGCGAGAGCACGACAUGGGGCGAUGACGACUCCUCCGUGUUUGUGGUGACCAUCAUCACCGAUGGCUGGAUUCUGCGGUCCCUCUUCGGUGGCAUCCCAAACAACAACCUCAUGGAUGACACGCAGCUGCAACUCAAGUCCGUGACGCAAAACGCGUUCGUCGCCGCCGAGGAUGGCGGCGGGGCGGCACUAUUUGCCAGUCGCUCCUCGGCCUCCGGCUGGGAGACCUUUAAGCUCCAUCCGAUCAACCAAAACAACUUCAACCUCAAGGUGUUUAGCAACCAGUUCGUGACCCUCGCCGGCGUUAAUGUCGUGGCCACGGCCUCCACACCGGGUCAAUCGGAGACGUUCCAGCUGGUGCGCAACAACGUCGACAAGAAUAGGAUGAGGAUCAGAGCAUCCAAUGGGUUCCUCUUGCAGGCAAACAAAGAUGGCUCGAUGACGGCCGACUUCAGCGAGAGCACGACGACAUGGGGUGACGACGAUCCCUCCGUGUUUGUGGUGACCAUCAUCAAGGAUCUACCCUCCCUCUUCGACGACAUCCCCAACAAAGACCUCCUGCAGGAUGGCACGCAGCUGCAACUCAGGUCCGUGACGCAGAACGCGUUCGUGGCCGCCGAGAAUGGCGGCAGGGCGGCACUGGUCGCCAACCGGGCCUCAGCCUCCGGCUGGGAGACCUUCAAGUUGUGGCGGAUCGACCAGAACACCUUCAACCUCAAAGUGUUCAGCAACCAGUCUGUGACCGUCGUCGGCGUUAAUGUGGUGGCCACGGCCUCCAUGCCGGGUCCAUCAGAGAGGUUUAAGCUGGUGCGAAACAAGAAUAUGAUGAGGAUCAAAGCACCUAAUGGGUCCUUCGUGCAGGCAAACAAGGAUGGUUCAUUGACGGCCAACUUCGGCGAGAGCACGACAUGGGGUGACGAUGACCCCUCUGUGUUUGCGGUGACCAUCGUCAAGGGGCUGCCCUCCCUCUUCGAUGGCAUCCCCAACAAAGACCUCCUGGAUAGCACGCGUGUGCAGUUCAAGUCCAUGGCACAGAAGGGGUUUCUGGCUGCCGAGAAUGGGGGCGGAGGGGCACUUGUCGCCAAUCGGCCCUCGGCCUCCGACUGGGAGACCUUCAAGCUCUGGCGUAUCGACGAGAACACCUUCAACUUUAAGGUGUUCAACAACCAAUUCGUGACCGUGGCCGGCGUUAAUGUGGUGGCCACGGCCUCCAUGCCGGGGCAGUCGGAGACGUUCCAGCUGGUGCGCAAUGACGCUGACAACAAUAAGAUGAGGAUCAGAGCACCCAAUGGGUCCUUCUUACAGGCAAACAAAGAUGGUUCGGUGACGGCCGACUUCGUCAAGAGCACGAAAUGGGGCGAGGAAGACCCCUCCGUGUUUGCGGUGACCAUCGUCGGGCAGGCGCUGCAAGGGGAGUACCAGAUCUGCAAUGGCUAUGGCAAAGAUACGGCUACACAGAUCAUGAAUGAACACCGGAGCACAUAUAUCGUGGAACGCGACUUCGCUUUCAUGGCGGCAAACGGCCUUAAUGCAGUGAGGAUCCCAGUCGGGUGGUGGAUCGCCAGCGACCCCAACCCUCCAGCACCAUUAGUCGGAGGCUCUUUGCAAGCCUUGGACAACGCGUUCACAUGGGCAGAGAGGCACAAUAUUGGCGUGAUCAUAGACUUACAUGCAGCACCUGGGGCGCAGAACCCCUGGGAGCAUGGCGGUAGUAGGGAUGGCUCGCGGACCUGGGGAGACUCCAACAUUGCGGAAACAGUGCAAGUCAUUGAUUUCCUCGCAGCAAGGUAUGCCAGGAGAUCAGGCCUCCUGGCGGUGGAGUUGAUGAAUGAGCCAGUGGCUCCCGGCGUGUCCCUAGAUAGCUUAAAAAGAUACUACCAACAGGGCUACAACGCUGUUAGGAAGCACUCGCCUACGGCCUAUGUGAUCAUGUCCAACCGAAUUGCAGGGCAUUGGGACGAGCUCGUCGAUUUUGCCACACCGUUCAGCAGAACCGUCCUUGACGGGCAUCCCUACCUGGUCUUCGAACCCAAGUUAGACAAAUCCAAUGUGCAGCAGAACAUCGAUUUCGUCAACAAAGAGAUCGCCGGUGAUCUCAGCACCAUGACAAGGCCAGAUGGCCCUCUCACUUUUGUUGGUGAAUGGGUGGCUGAGUGGAAGGUAAAGGGUGCUUCGAAGGAAGACUUCCAACGGUGUGCAAAUGCUCAGAUGGCUGUGUAUCGGAAAGCCACAUUUGGAUGGGCUUACUGGUCGUACAAGCAUGUUAGCAACCACUGGAGUAUGGAGUGGAUGAUCAACAACGGAUACAUCUCCUUAAAAAAUGCUUGA